UCGAGCGAGCUUGCCUAGAUGAUUUUAGUGCUUGCACUAAAUGAAACUAGAUACAAGCGAGCGGCGGACGGGUGAGUAACACGUGGGUAACCUGCCCAAGAGACUGGGAUAACACCUGGAAACAGAUGCUAAUACCGGAUAACAACACUAGACGCAUGUCUAGAGUUUGAAAGAUGAUUCUGCUAUCACUCUUGGAUGGACCUGCGGUGCAUUAGCUAGUUGGUAAGGUAACGGCUUACCAAGGCAAUGAUGCAUAGCCGAGUUGAGAGACUGAUCGGCCACAUUGGGACUGAGACACGGCCCAAACUCCUACGGGAGGCAGCAGUAGGGAAUCUUCCACAAUGGACGAAAGUCUGAUGGAGCAACGCCGCGUGAGUGAAGAAGGGUUUCGGCUCGUAAAGCUCUGUUGGUAGUGAAGAAAGAUAGAGGUAGUAACUGGCCUUUAUUUGACGGUAAUUACUUAGAAAGUCACGGCUAACUACGUGCCAGCAGCCGCGGUAAUACGUAGGUGGCAAGCGUUGUCCGGAUUUAUUGGGCGUAGAGCGAGUGCAGGCGGUUCAAUAAGUCUGAUGUGAAAGCCUUCGGCUCAACCGGAGAAUUGCAUCAGAAACUGUUGAACUUGAGUGCAGAAGAGGAGAGUGGAACUCCAUGUGUAGCGGUGGAAUGCGUAGAUAUAUGGAAGAACACCAGUGGCGAAGGCGGCUCUCUGGUCUGCAACUGACGCUGAGGCUCGAAAGCAUGGGUAGCG
Molecule: ribosomal RNA, 748 nt
Filed under: uncultured bacterium
Lineage: Bacteria
Description: bacterial SSU rRNA
Rfam family: Bacterial small subunit ribosomal RNA
Source: RNAcentral